CUUCAGCGACCCCAGCCACAACGGUCGUUCGGCGCUGUGGUGCUGGCCGUAGGUGGCGAGCAGUGCUUGAGCCUC
This 75-nucleotide antisense RNA is filed under the name Saccharopolyspora shandongensis. RNAcentral's name for it is "ASpks TB sRNA". It matches the Rfam family "ASpks TB sRNA". The record is from RNAcentral. Lineage: Bacteria; Bacillati; Actinomycetota; Actinomycetes; Pseudonocardiales; Pseudonocardiaceae.